GGGUCUUGGGAUAUUUGGGGUUAAGCGUCCUUGGGUUUGAAUAGUACUGAGCUGGGUGACCUCCCGGGAAGUCCAAAUUCAAGAGCUU
This is a non-coding RNA of Selaginella moellendorffii, 88 nucleotides long. Lineage: Eukaryota; Viridiplantae; Streptophyta; Lycopodiopsida; Selaginellales; Selaginellaceae. The record is from Rfam.